CCGACUGCUAUUUGGGUGAGGAUAAGCUAUGCGAGUUGAAUGGGAAACCUAAAGUUCCCAUGGCAAACUGCUCAGUAACACAUGAUCAACUUACCCUAUAGAGAAAAAUAACCUCGGGAAACUGAGGAUAAUGUUUCAUAGUUGAAUUGGCUUGGAAAAGUCUUUCGACGAAAGGGGUAAAAAAAAUGGUUUUUAUCUGCUAUAGGAUAGGAUCGUGUUCGAUUAUGGUUGUUGGUGAGGUAAUGGCUCACCAAGCCGAUAAUCGAUAGGGGCCGUGAGAGCGGGAGCCCCGAGAUGGGUACUGAGACAACGACCCAGGCCUUACGAGGCGCAGCAGGCGCGAAACCUCCGCAAUACACGAAAGUGUGACGGGGUUACCCAAAGUGUUCAAUUUUGAACUGUGGUAGGUGAGUAAUGUUCCCUACUAGAAAGGAGAGGGCAAGGCUGGUGCCAGCCGCCGCGGUAAAACCAGCUCUUCAAGUGGUCGGGAUAAUUAUUGGGCUUAAAGUGUCCGUAGCCGGUUUAGUAAGUUCCUGGUAAAAUCGGGUAGCUUAACUAUCUAUAUGCUAGGAAUACUACUAUACUAGAGGGCGGGAGAGGUCUGAGGUACUACAGGGGUAGGGGUGAAAUCUUAUAAUCCUUGUUGGACCACCAGUGGCGAAGGCGUCAGACUGGAACGCGCCUGACGGUGAGGGACGAAAGCCAGGGGAGCGAACCGGAUUAGAUACCCGGGUAGUCCUGGCCGUAAACGAUGCAUACUAGGUGAUGGCACGGCCAUGAGCCGUGUCAGUGCCGUAGGGAAACCGUUAAGUGUGCCGCCUGGGAAGUACGGUCGCAAGGCUAAAACUUAAAGGAAUUGGCGGGGGAGCACCACAAGGGGUGAAGCCUGCGGUUCAAUUGGAGUCAACGCCGGG
Molecule: ribosomal RNA, 914 nt
Filed under: uncultured archaeon
Lineage: Archaea
Description: bacterial SSU rRNA
Rfam family: Archaeal small subunit ribosomal RNA
Source: RNAcentral